GACGAACGCUGGCGGCGUGCCUAAUACAUUCAAGUCGAGCGCAGGAAAUCAUCCGAACCCUUCGGGGGGACGUUGAUGGAAUGAGCGGCGGACGGGUGAGUAACACGUAAAGAACCUGCCCUCAGGUCUGGGAUAACCACGAGAAAUCGGGGCUAAUACCGGAUGGGUCAUCGGACCGCAUGGUCCGAGGAUGAAAGGCGCUUCGGCGUCGCCUGGGGAUGGCUUUGCGGUGCAUUAGCUAGUUGGUGGGGUAAUGGCCCACCAAGGCGACGAUGCAUAGCCGACCUGAGAGGGUGAUCGGCCAAACUGGGACUGAGACACGGCCCAGACUCCUACGGGAGGCAGCAGUGGGGAAUCUUCCACAAUGGACGAAAGUCUGAUGGAGCAACGCCGCGUGAACGAUGAAGGCCUUCGGGUCGUAAAGUUCUGUUGUAAGGGAAGAACAAGUGCCGCAGGCAAUGGCGGCACCUUGACGGUACCUUGCGAGAAAGCCACGGCUAACUACGUGCCAGCCGCCGCCGUAA
This 524-nucleotide ribosomal RNA is filed under the name uncultured bacterium. Its description in RNAcentral is "partial 16S ribosomal RNA". It matches the Rfam family "Bacterial small subunit ribosomal RNA", at positions 28 to 523 of the family's 1533-position model. The record is from RNAcentral.